Molecule: ribosomal RNA, 1723 nt
Filed under: Salmonella enterica
Lineage: Bacteria; Pseudomonadati; Pseudomonadota; Gammaproteobacteria; Enterobacterales; Enterobacteriaceae
Description: partial 23S ribosomal RNA
Rfam family: Bacterial large subunit ribosomal RNA
Source: RNAcentral
GUUGGGUAGGGGAGCGUUCUGUAAGCCUGCGAAGGUGGCCUGUGAGGGUUGCUGGAGGUAUCAGAAGUGCGAAUGCUGACAUAAGUAACGAUAAAGCGGGUGAAAAGCCCGCUCGCCGGAAGACCAAGGGUUCCUGUCCAACGUUAAUCGGGGCAGGGUGAGUCGACCCCUAAGGCGAGGCCGAAAGGCGUAGUCGAUGGGAAACGGGUUAAUAUUCCCGUACUUGGUGUUACUGCGAAGGGGGGACGGAGAAGGCUAUGUUGGCCGGGCGACGGUUGUCCCGGUUUAAGCGUGUAGGCUGACUUUCCAGGCAAAUCCGGAGAGUCAAGGCUGAGGCGUGACGACGAGGCACCACGGUGCUGAAGCAACAAAUGCCCUGCUUCCAGGAAAAGCCUCUAAGCAUCAGGUAACAUCAAAUCGUACCCCAAACCGACACAGGUGGUCAGGUAGAGAAUACCAAGGCGCUUGAGAGAACUCGGGUGAAGGAACUAGGCAAAAUGGUGCCGUAACUUCGGGAGAAGGCACGCUGACACGUAGGUGAAGUGAUUUACUCAUGGAGCUGAAGUCAGUCGAAGAUACCAGCUGGCUGCAACUGUUUAUUAAAAACACAGCACUGUGCAAACACGAAAGUGGACGUAUACGGUGUGACGCCUGCCCGGUGCCGGAAGGUUAAUUGAUGGGGUCAGCGCAAGCGAAGCUCCUGAUCGAAGCCCCGGUAAACGGCGGCCGUAACUAUAACGGUCCUAAGGUAGCGAAAUUCCUUGUCGGGUAAGUUCCGACCUGCACGAAUGGCGUAAUGAUGGCCAGGCUGUCUCCACCCGAGACUCAGUGAAAUUGAACUCGCUGUGAAGAUGCAGUGUACCCGCGGCAAGACGGAAAGACCCCGUGAACCUUUACUAUAGCUUGACACUGAACAUUGAGCCUUGAUGUGUAGGAUAGGUGGGAGGCUUUGAAGCGUGGACGCCAGUCUGCGUGGAGCCGGCCUUGAAAUACCACCCUUUAAUGUUUGAUGUUCUAACGUGGACCCGUGAUCCGGGUUGCGGACAGUGUCUGGUGGGUAGUUUGACUGGGGCGGUCUCCUCCUAAAGAGUAACGGAGGAGCACGAAGGUUGGCUAAUCCUGGUCGGACAUCAGGAGGUUAGUGCAAUGGCAUAAGCCAGCUUGACUGCGAGCGUGACGGCGCGAGCAGGUGCGAAAGCAGGUCAUAGUGAUCCGGUGGUUCUGAAUGGAAGGGCCAUCGCUCAACGGAUAAAAGGUACUCCGGGGAUAACAGGCUGAUACCGCCCAAGAGUUCAUAUCGACGGCGGUGUUUGGCACCUCGAUGUCGGCUCAUCACAUCCUGGGGCUGAAGUAGGUCCCAAGGGUAUGGCUGUUCGCCAUUUAAAGUGGUACGCGAGCUGGGUUUAGAACGUCGUGAGACAGUUCGGUCCCUAUCUGCCGUGGGCGCUGGAGAACUGAGGGGGGCUGCUCCUAGUACGAGAGGACCGGAGUGGACGCAUCACUGGUGUUCGGGUUGUCAUGCCAAUGGCACUGCCCGGUAGCUAAAUGCGGAAGAGAUAAGUGCUGAAAGCAUCUAAGCACGAAACUUGCCCCGAGAUGAGUUCUCCCUGAGACUUAGAGUCUCCUGAAGGAACGUUGAAGACGACGACGUUGAUAGGCCGGGUGUGUAAGCGCAGCGAUGCGUUGAGCUAACCGGUACUAAUGAACCGUGAGGCUUAACCUU